GGCUCGGUGGUCUAGGGGUAUGAUUCCUGCUUUGGGUGCAGGAGGUCCCGGGUUCAAAUCCUGGCUUAGCCC
This 72-nucleotide transfer RNA is filed under the name Blattella germanica (German cockroach). RNAcentral describes it as "tRNA-Pro (TGG) (tRNA-Pro-TGG-19-1)". It matches the Rfam family "tRNA". From Rfam's summary of the family: Transfer RNA (tRNA) molecules are approximately 80 nucleotides in length. Their secondary structure includes four short double-helical elements and three loops (D, anti-codon, and T loops). Lineage: Eukaryota; Metazoa; Arthropoda; Insecta; Blattodea; Blattellidae. The record is from RNAcentral.